UUAAGUGAAGAAAAAAACACAGUUCUGGUUGGUAGUCCAGACGCAGUGCAAUACUGUCAGUAACCUGCCUCCUAAGGUUGUCCGUUCUUUGUAAAUAUUUC
RNAcentral lists this non-coding RNA (101 nucleotides) under Acetobacterium bakii. RNAcentral's name for it is "Azaaromatic sequence". It matches the Rfam family "azaaromatic riboswitch aptamer (yjdF RNA)". Lineage: Bacteria; Bacillati; Bacillota; Clostridia; Eubacteriales; Eubacteriaceae. The record is from Rfam by way of RNAcentral.